CUUAUUUAUAUUCAGCCACAAAUAAACCUUAUCAAGGUGGGUGAAGUAGUUGGCAUUGAACCGUUCAUACCUGGCGAUUACACCAAAUUCAAUACAAAUGGUGGAUAUGAAAACGGUGCUUAUCAACUAAUGACGGCAUUUUGUCACUGGACAUAUCAUAAAAGUGGUGGUUCACACAUGGUCUGUGACCUUCAGGGCGUCAAAUCUGGAAACAGAUAUAUCCUAACGGAUCCUGUAAUACAUUCAAGUGAAAAAGAGUAUGGGAGCACUGAUUUUGGCAUAGAGGGUAUGGAAAAGGUGCUUGCAAACCACAAGUGCAAUGUUUUAUGUCAAUAUUUGGGUUUGCAUAACCCUAUGGUCGGGUCUGGCAUUCCACCAGGACCAAUGACUACAGUCUAUAGAUUUCAAGUAACGGAACAAAACAUGCUGACAUACCAGUGAAGAAGGAAAGUAUUAUUGACUUUUUACAAAAUGUGUCAGAGAUACUUUCUACAUUAGACUAUGAGUAUACGAAGAUUUUCGUAAAAGAAACCGAAGUGUGUGCUAGUACAUUGUAUAAGUGAAACUUUAUUAAAUACUUACUUUUCUUAACAAAAUACGUAUACAGUUUGUUUUGUUCUAAAUUUGCAAAAAUAAUGGUGUGAUUCGAUGCUAUAUCGCUUAUUUUCAUAUCAAAAACUAAUUGUCUAAUUGCCUUGUAAUAAACUCAAUAUGUUUGUGUUUUUGUGACUUUUAAAUACUGGAGCGCGGUCGAUAAUUUGGUAAAAUUAAAAGAUGGUUAAAAUUUGUAUUAGUAAAAUGUCCUUAUAUCAAUAUAUUUGUGUAAACUUAUGCCGGAUCUUAGGAAUAUAUAUUUGAGAUUCUUGCAAAAAAAAACUUGCAUUCGAAGAGAAGAUUUAUUAAGUGUAGUUAUUCUUUUAAAUGAUUCCAACGCAUCAAUAAAAAACAUAUCUAUUGCGAAAUUAUAUUGGUUGAAACUUGUGUUGUUUUGUGUUAUUGCCCGUUCGAUCAACAGCACCUGUUUAGUAAAAUAAUCAUUAUCAUUA
This is a long non-coding RNA of Mercenaria mercenaria, 1046 nucleotides long. RefSeq lists it as uncharacterized. The transcript is spliced from 3 exons. Lineage: Eukaryota; Metazoa; Mollusca; Bivalvia; Venerida; Veneridae. The record is from RefSeq and is a predicted model, not a curated record.